AUCCUCUCGGGCCUAUUGGCUAAGAUCAAUUGUAGCAUCUGUUCUUUUUAGCGUGACAGGUAGAAGGCACUCCACUGGAGUUGGCCUGUCUGUCAUUGAAUCUUUGGACCAAGACGGAGUCGCUCGGGGCUUGCUCCGAGUUCUGUCGCGGAUGUCCCUCGUAUUGCACUGAAACGAGCUGACUAAUUCGCCUU
Molecule: small nuclear RNA, 194 nt
Filed under: Gonapodya prolifera JEL478
Lineage: Eukaryota; Fungi; Monoblepharomycota; Monoblepharidomycetes; Monoblepharidales; Gonapodyaceae
Description: U2 spliceosomal RNA
Rfam family: U2 spliceosomal RNA
About the family: U2 is a small nuclear RNA (snRNA) component of the spliceosome (involved in pre-mRNA splicing). Complementary binding between U2 snRNA (in an area lying towards the 5' end but 3' to hairpin I) and the branchpoint sequence (BPS) of the intron results the bulging out of an unpaired adenosine, on the BPS, which initiates a nucleophilic attack at the intronic 5' splice site, thus starting the first of two transesterification reactions that mediate splicing.
Source: Rfam by way of RNAcentral